RNAcentral lists this non-coding RNA (23 nucleotides) under Arabidopsis thaliana (thale cress). The record is from RNAcentral. Lineage: Eukaryota; Viridiplantae; Streptophyta; Magnoliopsida; Brassicales; Brassicaceae.
GGGUUUUAUGUUCCGGCCGGCCU